This 666-nucleotide ribosomal RNA is filed under the name Archisepsis armata. RNAcentral describes it as "eukaryotic LSU rRNA". It matches the Rfam family "Eukaryotic large subunit ribosomal RNA", at positions 202 to 754 of the family's 3401-position model. The record is from RNAcentral. Lineage: Eukaryota; Metazoa; Arthropoda; Insecta; Diptera; Sepsidae.
CCCAUAGAGGGUGCCAGGCCCGUAUAACGUUAAUGAUUACUAGAAGAUAUUUCCAAAGAGUCGUGUUGCUUGAUAGUGCAGCACUAAGUGGGUGGUAAACUCCAUCUAAAACUAAAUAUAACCAUGAGACCGAUAGCAAACAAGUACCGUGAGGGAAAGUUGAAAAGAACUCUGAAUAGAGAGUUAAAUAGUACGUGAAACUGCUUAGAGGUUAAGCCCGAUGAACCUGAAUAUCCAUUAUGGAAAAUUCAUCAUUAUAAUUGUAAUAUUUAUAAUAUUAUAAGAAUAGUGUGCAUUUUUUCCAUAUAAGGACAUUGUAAUCUAUUAAAUAAUAAAAAUUUAUUAAAAGAUCAUUUGCUUAAGUUUAUUCAAAUUAUUAUGCUUGCAUUUUAACAUUGGAUAAAUGCUUAUGAUUUAAUAAAGAUUUGAUAGAUUUAUUAUAUAUGAUGUUAAAAUUAAUAAUAAUUUUACAAUGGUAUAUGAAUCAUGAUUUAUAUAUUUAUUGUAUGCAUCUAUAUGAUUAACAAUGCGAAAGAUUCAGGAUACCUUCGGGACCCGUCUUGAAACACGGACCAAGGAGUCUAACAUAUGUGCAAGUAAUUGAGAUUUGAAAACUUAAUUGCGAAAUUAACAUAACUUGUUAAUGGGAUUAAUUUUUAUAGAAAU